Molecule: ribosomal RNA, 867 nt
Filed under: Triticum aestivum (bread wheat)
Lineage: Eukaryota; Viridiplantae; Streptophyta; Magnoliopsida; Poales; Poaceae
Description: partial small subunit ribosomal RNA
Source: RNAcentral
AUGUCCACCACCAUCCUGCUCCCCGGCCUCUCCGACACAUACGCCCCCAACGUGCCUCUCCUCGUCGCGAACGACCAGCCGGUGCCCGACAUGCUGAAGCUCGUCGUGUGCUCUGACAACCUCGUCGCCGCGAUCGUCAAUGAUAACGAGGCGUUGACGUAUCGCAGCAAGCUUGCCUUGUGCCGGCCAGGAGCGUCCUCGUGGUGGUCCAGCACACCCGACGAGCUUCGCCACCUCCAAGACAUUGUCUCGUGCGGGGGAAAGCUCUACGCCCUCGACAAGUUCAACGGGCUCUUCUCCGUCUCCAUCGGCACGGGCAGGCGCACCGGCGAUCCGACCGUGUCACGGGUCGAGCACCUCAUGGGUAGCCCCCGUGGGGUCCUCAAACACUCGUCACAGUACCUGCUAGAAUCUAGCGGCACGUUGCUGUUGGUCUGCAGGGAGGACGUGAUGUUCGAGGGGUGCAGCAGCGGCUCGAUGAGUGCACUCAUGGACGGGCUGGAGCUGGAGCUGGAGCUGGAGUUCGAGGUACUCAAGGCGGACUUGAAGAGGUCUCGAUGGACGGACGUAAGGAGCGUGGGCGACGACCGGGUGCUGUUCGUCGGGCCAUGGUGCUCCCGGGCGGUUCACGUUAGUGGCGCAUGCGAGCAGGACUGUCUCUACAACGGGGACCGUAUCUUCUUCAUGGUGGAUGUUAGCGCGAAAAGAUACAAUCAUCGGUACUACGGCUACGGGGCACAACGGGAGCCCUUCUACUGCAUCGUCUACGACAUGAGGACGCAGCGGUCGGAGUUGUUCCUGGAGACGACGGCGCGCCCGUUAAAGGGCUUCCCGGUGACAUGGCUAUUCCCUCCAAGUCAAGGAUAG